Brachypodium distachyon (stiff brome) is the source of this 746-nucleotide RNA transcript. RefSeq lists it as uncharacterized. The transcript has 5 exons. The record is from RefSeq and is a predicted model, not a curated record. Lineage: Eukaryota; Viridiplantae; Streptophyta; Magnoliopsida; Poales; Poaceae.
AACCAACGUGCAAUUCAUGAUUUCCUGAAUACGGGAGUAAAACACUUCGACCGGAAGAAACCACAAGAGCCCGCGGGUUUCAAAAUUUCCCCAAAAAUUCUCUCCCCCGCAACCUCCGCCUCCUCUCCUCCGCAUCUCGCCGCCCCCUCUUCUCCUGCCUCCGGAAGCUUCAGGAAUCCUCUCACGCGCGGAUGGAGAACCUCAACGUCAAGCUCCACAAAAAGUACACCGGCCUCAAGAAGCGGAAGCUGCUCGACGACGAUUGGAUCUCGAGAUGUUGGAAGAGCUGAAGAAGAUGGCAGGCGAGGUCCAGAACCUCCGGGACGAGAACGACCGCCUCCGUGACGAGCUGAUCAACAAAGAGAAGCAGCUCGCGGAGACGCGGAUACUUUUAGUGGAUAGGGAGCAGCAGCUUGCAGAGACCCAAACACUUUUAGUCGAUGAGACUAGGAAGGGGCUGUGCCCCUAUAGGGAUGUACGCCCAUGACAGGUGAAGUGGUUGAUAUGAGGGGUGGACAGAAAUGAGGAUUGAAGGGUGAGAUGAGGAGCUUGUUGGAGAUGUUUUUUGAGAGUUUCUCCUCAUAUUUGACUAUGAUGGGUGGGAUGAGGGCCUUGUUGGAGUUACUCUAAGCACAAGUACUGGUUAUGUUACUUCUUGUAUGGCAACCUUGAAUCAGUUACUUAAUUCUGUGAUUAUAUCUCUGAAAAUGUAGGAUUAUAAUAAAAUGGUUAUGUGCAAGUAAAAA